Molecule: long non-coding RNA, 229 nt
Organism: Sinocyclocheilus rhinocerous
Lineage: Eukaryota; Metazoa; Chordata; Actinopteri; Cypriniformes; Cyprinidae
Exons: 4
Source: RefSeq, a predicted model, not a curated record
AACAUGCAGUUGUCUGUGGAGUACUUCUUGUCUUGGAAGCACCCUUUGAUUUUACAUCUUGUGACAUUCCAAUCAUACGGAGAUGGUGGACUCCAGAUGGUUUUCUCUGAAAGUGCAGAAACCCUACCAGAGGCCCUUCCAAUUGGAUAACAGGCUACGCUUGUGAGGUAUGUCUCAAAUAUAUCCAUCUAUAUACACACACAUUCAUAAGAAAUAUUAAAGUUAAAUU